RNAcentral lists this ribosomal RNA (60 nucleotides) under Meloidogyne hapla. Its description in RNAcentral is "partial 18S ribosomal RNA". Lineage: Eukaryota; Metazoa; Nematoda; Chromadorea; Rhabditida; Meloidogynidae. The record is from RNAcentral.
CUGAACUGAUGUGUUCAUUUCAAAAAUUAAGCCAUGCAUGUAUAAGUUUAGUCGUUAUUC